GAUGAACGCUGGCGGCGUGCCUAAUACAUGCAAGUCGAGCGAACGGACGAGAAGCUUGCUUCUCUGAUGUUAGCGGCGGACGGGUGAGUAACACGUGGAUAACCUACCUAUAAGACUGGGAUAACUUCGGGAAACCGGAGCUAAUACCGGAUAAUAUUUUGAGCCGCAUGGUUCAAAAGUGAAAGACGGUCUUGCUGUCACUUAUAGAUGGAUCCGCGCUGCAUUAGCUAGUUGGUAAGGUAACGGCUUACCAAGGCAACGAUGCAUAGCCGACCUGAGAGGGUGAUCGGCCACACUGGAACUGAGACACGGUCCAGACUCCUACGGGAGGCAGCAGUAGGGAAUCUUCCGCAAUGGGCGAAAGCCUGACGGAGCAACGCCGCGUGAGUGAUGAAGGUCUUCGGAUCGUAAAACUCUGUUAUUAGGGAAGAACAUAUGUGUAAGUAACUGUGCACAUCUUGACGGUACCUAAUCAGAAAGCCACGGCUAACUACGUGCCAGCAGCCGCGGUAAUACGUAGGUGGCAAGCGUUAUCCGGAAUUAUUGGGUGUAAAGCGCGCGUAGGCGGUUUUUUAAGUCUGAUGUGAAAGCCCACGGCUCAACCGUGGAGGGUCAUUGGAAACUGGAAAACUUGAGUGCAGAAGAGGAAAGUGGAAUUCCAUGUGUAGCGGUGAAAUGCGCAGAGAUAUGGAGGAACACCAGUGGCGAAGGCGACUUUCUGGUCUGUAACUGACGCUGAUGUGCGAAAGCGUGGGGAUCAAACAGGAUUAGAUACCCUGGUAGUCCACGCCGUAAACGAUGAGUGCUAAGUGUUAGGGGGUUUCCGCCCCUUAGUGCUGCAGCUAACGCAUUAAGCACUCCGCCUGGGGAGUACGACCGCAAGGUUGAAACUCAAAGGAAUUGACGGGGACCCGCACAAGCGGUGGAGCAUGUGGUUUAAUUCGAAGCAACGCGAAGAACCUUACCAAAUCUUGACAUCCUUUGACAACUCUAGAGAUAGAGCUUUCCCCUUCGGGGGACAAAGUGACAGGUGGUGCAUGGUUGUCGUCAGCUCGUGUCGUGAGAUGUUGGGUUAAGUCCCGCAACGAGCGCAACCCUUAAGCUUAGUUGCCAUCAUUAAGUUGGGCACUCUAAGUUGACUGCCGGUGACAAACCGGAGGAAGGUGGGGAUGACGUCAAAUCAUCAUGCCCCUUAUGAUUUGGGCUACACACGUGCUACAAUGGACAAUACAAAGGGCAGCGAAACCGUGAGGUCAAGCAAAUCCCAUAAAGUUGUUCUCAGUUCGGAUUGUAGUCUGCAACUCGACUACAUGAAGCUGGAAUCGCUAGUAAUCGUAGAUCAGCAUGCUACGGUGAAUACGUUCCCGGGUCU
This 1372-nucleotide ribosomal RNA is filed under the name uncultured bacterium. RNAcentral's name for it is "bacterial SSU rRNA". It matches the Rfam family "Bacterial small subunit ribosomal RNA", at positions 28 to 1381 of the family's 1533-position model. The record is from RNAcentral.